RNAcentral lists this unclassified non-coding RNA (240 nucleotides) under soil metagenome. Its description in RNAcentral is "partial contains 5.8S ribosomal RNA, internal transcribed spacer 2, and large subunit ribosomal RNA". The record is from RNAcentral.
AACAAGGCGUACCUGCGGACCUGCGGAAGGAUCAUUAACGAGCGUAACCUACCUUUUUAAAAAAAGGGUGGUACCUCCCGUCCUUUGCGGGCCCCUUUCUUUUAUUAGGGGGGGGGCUUUUAAGACUUUCUGCUUCGGCGGGGUUAUUCCCGCCGGAACACCCUCAAAAAACUCUUGAUCAAAAAACAGUUCAGUCCGAGAAUUUUUGAAAAUUAAAACAAAACUUUCAGCAACGGAUCU